UGGGUAUUUAAGCCUAAAGUUUAACAUAUAAAUGAAUAGUUUAUUUAACCAAAACUAAAAAAAAUAAAAAAUAGUUUAUAGUGGCGGCAACGACGGCAAGAUAUGCCGUAGCAACUGACUUUUGCAGCAUGCAUAUAUAACACUCAAUAAAAUACGAUCUAGGUGUAAAGGAUAGAGAGUGAUAAAUCUUUGUUAUUGUUUCUUUAUCGUCUUUAAUUUGGUUCAUCUACUCAUCUUGAUUUAGUUUAUCUCUCUAUAUUGAAUAAUAUGUUAUAUUGAAAUUAAAAUCUUAUUUUAAGAAGAUAUAACAUCAUUCGAAGAAAAUAAGCUUCUAGAGGAUUUUUUUUUGCAAAGGCAAAGAAGAAUUAUAAUAAGAGCAAGCAUCCCAAGUAUAAGAAGUAGAUAAGGGAGAGAUACAAAUUAAGCUUUGAUCCGGGACAUAUAUACAACAAAAUGCCAAGUUUCCAGAGGAUUAACAUGUUUUGAAUAGUUUUUUUUUCUUUCAAUUUUUCGACUCUCUCAUCUUUAUUGGGUAAAACAUAGAGGGGUGAUUCUAAUCUUUUUCAUAUACAACGAAUUGUGUCUUCCUCCUUGAUUUGAUUUAUCUACUCUAUAUUAAAUAAUAUGUUUUAUUGAAACUAUAAUUUUGUUUGUUAUCAAAAUUCAUACCACUUGGACCAAUUCAUUGUUGGUGACUAUUAUUUUAUUUUAAGAUAAUAUAAUGUCAAUUGAAGAAGACAAAAUUUAUAGGGGGAUAAAAUUGGUUUGGGUUUCAAUUUCUUCUUUGAUUUUGUUUUUGUUUUUUUUUUUUGUACAAAAAGGGGGGCCAUGCUCCUCUUCUUUGAUUUAUCUACUCUGAUCUUUUUUUUCUUAUUUUAAGAUAAUAUAAUGUGAAUUGAAGAAGACAAGCUUCUUAUUCUAGAGUUUAAGAAAAUACUUAUUAUUUAUAUUAUUUUAAAUUUUAUUUAUAGUUUUCACUUUGCA
RNAcentral lists this long non-coding RNA (984 nucleotides) under Trifolium pratense (red clover). RNAcentral's name for it is "long non-coding RNA (TPRA_LNC005281)". Lineage: Eukaryota; Viridiplantae; Streptophyta; Magnoliopsida; Fabales; Fabaceae. The record is from RNAcentral.